AGAGUUUGAUCCUGGCUCAGGAUGAACGCUAGCGGCAGGCUUAACACAUGCAAGUCGGGCGGCAGCGGGGUGGGAGCUUGCUCCCACUGCCGGCGAGCGGCGCACGGGUGAGUAACACGUAUGCAACCUGCCCCUGUCAGGGGGACAACCCGCCGAAAGGCGGGCUAAGCCCGCGUAUAUCGCCCCGGGGCAUCCCGGGGGGAGGAAAGGAGCGAUCCGGACAGGGAUGGGCAUGCGGCGCAUUAGCUGGUCGGCGGGGUAACGGCCCACCGAGGCGACGAUGCGUAGGGGUUCUGAGAGGAAGGCCCCCCACACUGGUACUGAGACACGGACCAGACUCCUACGGGAGGCAGCAGUGAGGAAUAUUGGUCAAUGGGCGGGAGCCUGAACCAGCCAAGCCGCGUGAGGGAAGAAGGUACAGCGUAUCGUAAACCUCUUUUGUCAGGGAACAAAGGCGGGGACUAGUCCCCGGAUGAGGGUACCUGAAGAAAAAGCAUCGGCUAACUCCGUGCCAGCAGCCGCGGUAAUACGGAGGAUGCGAGCGUUAUCCGGAUUUAUUGGGUUUAAAGGGUGCGCAGGCGGCCUGUUAAGUCAGCGGUAAAAGCCCGGGGCUCAACCCCCGGCGAGCCGUUGAAACUGGCGGGCUGGAGUUGGAGAGAAGUACGCGGAAUGCGCGGUGUAGCGGUGAAAUGCUUAGAUAUCGCGCAGAACCCCGAUUGCGAAGGCAGCGUACCGGCUCCACACUGACGCUGAGGCACGAAAGCGUGGGUAUCGAACAGGAUUAGAUACCCUGGUAGUCCACGCAGUAAACGAU
This 814-nucleotide ribosomal RNA is filed under the name uncultured bacterium. RNAcentral's name for it is "bacterial SSU rRNA". It matches the Rfam family "Bacterial small subunit ribosomal RNA", at positions 8 to 810 of the family's 1533-position model. The record is from RNAcentral.